AUGAACAGUAACAGGGUCCCUGGUCCUGACAACAUUCCAGCAGAGUUCUACCAACACUGUUGGGAGAUUGUGAAGAAUGAUAUCAUGAAACUUUUUGCUGCUUUGCACGAAGGAACACUUGAUGUUCAAAGGUUGAAUUAUGGGAUCAUUACCCUUCUUCCUAAGAUCAGUGGUGCAAACAAAAUCCAACAGUUUAGGCCUAUAUGUUUACUUAGAUGUCCAUAUAAGCUGAUCACAAAAGUAUUAGACAACAAAGCAGCCCCCUAUGCUGACAUUCUGUUUAGCAAACACCAAAAUGCUUUUAUUAAGCACAGAAACAUUAUGGAUGGGGUGCUAACUCUGCAUGAUAUUUUGCAUCAUACACAUGUUAAGAAAAAAAUUGGCAUCAUUAUCAAGCUUGAUUUUGAAAAAGCAUAUGAUAAGGUCAAUUAG
RNAcentral lists this ribosomal RNA (432 nucleotides) under Triticum aestivum (bread wheat). RNAcentral's name for it is "partial small subunit ribosomal RNA". Lineage: Eukaryota; Viridiplantae; Streptophyta; Magnoliopsida; Poales; Poaceae. The record is from RNAcentral.